UUACGGCCAUAUCACGUUGAAAGAACGGUUCCCGUACAAUCAUCGAAUUUAAGCAACUUUGAGCCUGGUCAGUACCUAGGUGCGUGACCGAUUCGGAAUACCCGGAUCUGUAA
Molecule: non-coding RNA, 113 nt
Organism: Acanthosepion pharaonis
Lineage: Eukaryota; Metazoa; Mollusca; Cephalopoda; Sepiida; Sepiidae
Source: the annotation of a GenBank genome assembly